CCUACGGGAGGCAGCAGUGAGGAAUAUUGGUCAAUGGGCGCGAGCCGGAACCAGCCAAGUCGAGUGAGGGAAGAAGGUCCGAAGGAUGGUAAACCUCUUUUGUCGGGGAGCAAAAUACGCCACGCGUGCCGUUCCGAGUGUACCCGACGAAAAAGCAUCGGCUAACUCCGUGCCAGCAGCCGCGGUAAUACGGAGGAUGCGAGCGUUAUCCGGAUUUAUUGGGUUUAAAGGGUGCGUAGGCGGGCUGUUAAGUCAGCGGUAAAAUGUCGGGGCUCAACCCCGGCCUGCCGUUGAAACUGGCUGCCUCGAGUGGGCGAGAGGCAUGCGGAAUGCGUGGUGUAGCGGUGAAAUGCUUAGAUAUUGCGCAGAACUCCGAUUGCGAAGGCAGCAUACCGGCGCCCGACUGACGCUGAGGCACGAAAGCGUGGGUAUCGAACAGGAUUAGAUACCCCAGUAGUC
This 459-nucleotide ribosomal RNA is filed under the name uncultured bacterium. Its description in RNAcentral is "partial 16S ribosomal RNA". It matches the Rfam family "Bacterial small subunit ribosomal RNA", at positions 338 to 795 of the family's 1533-position model. The record is from RNAcentral.